This 259-nucleotide unclassified non-coding RNA is filed under the name fungal sp. RNAcentral describes it as "partial internal transcribed spacer region". Lineage: Eukaryota; Fungi. The record is from RNAcentral.
AAGUCGUAACAAGGUCUCUGUUAGUGAACCAGCAGAGGGAUCAUUAUAGAGUUACAAAACUCCUAUCACUAUUGCAAACUUACCUUACACCGUUGCUUUAGCAGGCAGCCCUAGGCUUUUGUUUUCACAGAUCCUUAGGGCCCUAUAGCCUGAUUAUCAGGUACCUGCUAGAGGUUAUAUAACUAGACAUUGUUUAUAGCCUGUUAGAAUUUGUACUACCAAUUAGUUAAAACUUUCAACAACGGAUCUCUUAGUUCUA